Pteropus vampyrus (large flying fox) is the source of this 91-nucleotide microRNA precursor. Lineage: Eukaryota; Metazoa; Chordata; Mammalia; Chiroptera; Pteropodidae. The record is from Ensembl.
GCCGGGUGCCGACUCCUGUAUAGCGACCUGAAACCUCUGGGUUCUGAGAUGGGGUGUCUGGGGUCUUGCUUCAAACCCGGGGUCUCUGGGU